This 684-nucleotide ribosomal RNA is filed under the name Staphylococcus aureus. RNAcentral's name for it is "partial 23S ribosomal RNA". It matches the Rfam family "Bacterial large subunit ribosomal RNA", at positions 305 to 985 of the family's 2925-position model. The record is from RNAcentral. Lineage: Bacteria; Bacillati; Bacillota; Bacilli; Caryophanales; Staphylococcaceae.
ACACUCUAUACGGAGUUACAAAGGACGACAUUAGACGAAUCAUCUGGAAAGAUGAAUCAAAGAAGGUAAUAAUCCUGUAGUCGAAAAUGUUGUCUCUCUUGAGUGGAUCCUGAGUACGACGGAGCACGUGAAAUUCCGUCGGAAUCUGGGAGGACCAUCUCCUAAGGCUAAAUACUCUCUAGUGACCGAUAGUGAACCAGUACCGUGAGGGAAAGGUGAAAAGCACCCCGGAAGGGGAGUGAAAUAGAACCUGAAACCGUGUGCUUACAAGUAGUCAGAGCCCGUUAAUGGGUGAUGGCGUGCCUUUUGUAGAAUGAACCGGCGAGUUACGAUUUGAUGCAAGGUUAAGCAGUAAAUGUGGAGCCGUAGCGAAAGCGAGUCUGAAUAGGGCGUUUAGUAUUUGGUCGUAGACCCGAAACCAGGUGAUCUACCCUUGGUCAGGUUGAAGUUCAGGUAACACUGAAUGGAGGACCGAACCGACUUACGUUGAAAAGUGAGCGGAUGAACUGAGGGUAGCGGAGAAAUUCCAAUCGAACCUGGAGAUAGCUGGUUCUCUCCGAAAUAGCUUUAGGGCUAGCCUCAAGUGAUGAUUAUUGGAGGUAGAGCACUGUUUGGACGAGGGGCCCCUCUCGGGUUACCGAAUUCAGACAAACUCCGAAUGCCAAUUAAUUUAACUUGGGAGUC